Molecule: unclassified non-coding RNA, 248 nt
Filed under: Hevea brasiliensis (rubber tree)
Lineage: Eukaryota; Viridiplantae; Streptophyta; Magnoliopsida; Malpighiales; Euphorbiaceae
Source: RNAcentral
GAAUUGCCCUAUGGAUCUGGUUCUGCUAUUAGUCCAAAAAUGGACCACCUGGUAUGUUUCUUAUCAGGUACCCUUGCUCUUGGUGCCACCAAGGGCAUCACCAAGGAAGAAGCAAUGAGUAAAAGCUUGUUGAGCUUCGAUGAUCUGGAAAAUCUAAAUCUGGCAGAGGAUCUUGCAAAAACUUGCUACGAGAUGUAUGAAGUAACCUCUACCGGUCUUGCCCCAGAAAUAGUUUAUUUCCAUACCGA